CAGCCGCCGCGGAAUACGGAGGGGGCUAGCGUUGUUCGGAAUUACUGGGCGUAAAGCGCACGUAGGCGGCUUGGUAAGUUAGAGGUGAAAGCCUGGAGCUCAACUCCAGAAUUGCCUUUAAGACUGCCGAGCUAGCAGGUGAGAGAGGUAAGUGGAAUUCCGAGUGUAGAGGUGAAAUUCGUAGAUAUUCGGAAGAACACCAGUGGCGAAGGCGGCUUACUGGCUCAUACUGGACGCUGAGGUGCGAAAGCGUGGGGAGCAAACAGGAUUAGAUACCCCCGUAGUCCCUGUCUCUUAUACA
Molecule: ribosomal RNA, 301 nt
Filed under: uncultured bacterium
Lineage: Bacteria
Description: partial 16S ribosomal RNA
Rfam family: Bacterial small subunit ribosomal RNA
Source: RNAcentral